CCUAACACAUGCAAGUCGAACGGUAACAGGAAGCAGCUUGCUGCUUUGCUGACGAGUGGCGGACGGGUGAGUAAUGUCUGGGAAACUGCCUGAUGGAGGGGGAUAACUACUGGAAACGGUAGCUAAUACCGCAUAACGUCGCAAGACCAAAGAGGGGGACCUUCGGGCCUCUUGCCAUCGGAUGUGCCCAGAUGGGAUUAGCUAGUAGGUGGGGUAACGGCUCACCUAGGCGACGAUCCCUAGCUGGUCUGAGAGGAUGACCAGCCACACUGGAACUGAGACACGGUCCAGACUCCUACGGGAGGCAGCAGUGGGGAAUAUUGCACAAUGGGCGCAAGCCUGAUGCAGCCAUGCCGCGUGUAUGAAGAAGGCCUUCGGGUUGUAAAGUACUUUCAGCGGGGAGGAAGGGAGUAAAGUUAAUACCUUUGCUCAUUGACGUUACCCGCAGAAGAAGCACCGGCUAACUCCGUGCCAGCAGCCGCGGUAAUACGGAGGGUGCAAGCGUUAAUCGGAAUUACUGGGCGUAAAGCGCACGCAGGCGGUUUGUUAAGUCAGAUGUGAAAUCCCCGGGCUCAACCUGGGAACUGCAUCUGAUACUGGCAAGCUUGAGUCUCGUAGAGGGGGGUAGAAUUCCAGGUGUAGCGGUGAAAUGCGUAGAGAUCUGGAGGAAUACCGGUGGCGAAGGCGGCCUCCUGGACGAAGACUGACGCUCGGUGCGAAAGCGUGGGGAGCAAACAGGAUUAGAU
This 746-nucleotide ribosomal RNA is filed under the name Escherichia sp. SC-C4-4. RNAcentral's name for it is "bacterial SSU rRNA". It matches the Rfam family "Bacterial small subunit ribosomal RNA", at positions 47 to 783 of the family's 1533-position model. Lineage: Bacteria; Pseudomonadati; Pseudomonadota; Gammaproteobacteria; Enterobacterales; Enterobacteriaceae. The record is from RNAcentral.